CUGGACCGAAAUCCCUCCUGGGACAUUGUCAUUUGCAUGGAUUCGACGGAGCCCUCCUCUCCCGAUCCCUAUCCCCCGACGCCAAUGACUCCACCUCGCCGCCACCCUCUCCUCCGGCAAGGUCACCCCGCCCCGUUUCCUCUCCUCUGGCAAGGUCACCACGGCCUGCUCCCUCUCCUCCGGCACGGUCGCCCCAUCCUGCUCCCUCUCCGCCGUCAAGGUCGCCCCCUCCUGCUCCCUCUCCUCCGCCCAUGUCCCACCGUACCCCUCGGGCAAGGUCGCAAGGACACCCCGAUGUCAAGGACGUCAUCCUCGUCCAUCUGCUCUCAUCCAUUGCCGGAUCCAUCCACCCCUUGUCGGAUCCUGAUGUCCAAGCCAUGAACUUCAUCCACCUUCGGCGAAUGAUGUUGGAGAUAAGCAACAAGUAAGUCGAGCAAGCAAUUGGUUGAUGCACUCACUCGAGUAGUGUCCUGAAGUAACCUAUGUGCGUUGUUCAAUGGGUGAGAAGACAAAGACAAGAAAGCGGGCAGCGGUGAUUGUUUGAGCUAGAAGAUGACAUGUUGGCAGUCUAUGACAUCAUGCUCAAGUCGAAUGGAAAAGAAACGGGUCCUCGAGUCAAGCUAUAUGACCUUAAUUGGAUGCAAAUUUUUAGUUUUUAUUGUUGUAAUGCACUUGUGAUUAUAAGCUGCAGUAUUUUAUCUUCCAAACCUUGCUUACUACAAACUUUGAAGCUUAAUGAAGCUUUGUUUUUUUUGUGUUGUACUACAUUUUGUGCUUUAUGGAGAUGGACAUGGUAGUUGUAAUUGAAUUUAAAUAUGUCGAUUUCUGCUUUAUGGUCCUUCAAAGAUCUUAUCA
Long non-coding RNA from Aegilops tauschii subsp. strangulata, 855 nucleotides. RefSeq lists it as uncharacterized. The record is from RefSeq and is a predicted model, not a curated record. Lineage: Eukaryota; Viridiplantae; Streptophyta; Magnoliopsida; Poales; Poaceae.